AAAUUGAAGAGUUUGAUCAUGGCUCAGAUUGAACGCUGGCGGCAGGCCUAACACAUGCAAGUCGAGCGGUAGCACAGAGAGCUUGCUCUCGGGUGACGAGCGGCGGACGGGUGAGUAAUGUCUGGGAAACUGCCUGAUGGAGGGGGAUAACUACUGGAAACGGUAGCUAAUACCGCAUAAUGUCGCAAGACCAAAGUGGGGGACCUUCGGGCCUCAUGCCAUCAGAUGUGCCCAGAUGGGAUUAGCUAGUAGGUGGGGUAACGGCUCACCUAGGCGACGAUCCCUAGCUGGUCUGAGAGGAUGACCAGCCACACUGGAACUGAGACACGGUCCAGACUCCUACGGGAGGCAGCAGUGGGGAAUAUUGCACAAUGGGCGCAAGCCUGAUGCAGCCAUGCCGCGUGUGUGAAGAAGGCCUUCGGGUUGUAAAGCACUUUCAGCGGGGAGGAAGGCGAUAAGGUUAAUAACCUUGUCGAUUGACGUUACCCGCAGAAGAAGCACCGGCUAACUCCGUGCCAGCAGCCGCGGUAAUACGGAGGGUGCAAGCGUUAAUCGGAAUUACUGGGCGUAAAGCGCACGCAGGCGGUCUGUCAAGUCGGAUGUGAAAUCCCCGGGCUUAACCUGGGAACUGCAUUCGAAACUGGCAGGCUAGAGUCUUGUAGAGGGGGGUAGAAUUCCAGGUGUAGCGGUGAAAUGCGUAGAGAUCUGGAGGAAUACCGGUGGCGAAGGCGGCCCCCUGGACAAAGACUGACGCUCAGGUGCGAAAGCGUGGGGAGCAAACAGGAUUAGAUACCCUGGUAGUCCACGCCGUAAACGAUGUCGAUUUGGAGGUUGUGCCCUUGAGGCGUGGCUUCCGGAGCUAACGCGUUAAAUCGACCGCCUGGGGAGUACGGCCGCAAGGUUAAAACUCAAAUGAAUUGACGGGGGCCCGCACAAGCGGUGGAGCAUGUGGUUUAAUUCGAUGCAACGCGAAGAACCUUACCUGGUCUUGACAUCCACAGAACUUUCCAGAGAUGGAUUGGUGCCUUCGGGAACUGUGAGACAGGUGCUGCAUGGCUGUCGUCAGCUCGUGUUGUGAAAUGUUGGGUUAAGUCCCGCAACGAGCGCAACCCUUAUCCUUUGUUGCCAGCGGUCCGGCCGGGAACUCAAAGGAGACUGCCAGUGAUAAACUGGAGGAAGGUGGGGAUGACGUCAAGUCAUCAUGGCCCUUACGACCAGGGCUACACACGUGCUACAAUGGCAUAUACAAAGAGAAGCGACCUCGCGAGAGCAAGCGGACCUCAUAAAGUAUGUCGUAGUCCGGAUUGGAGUCUGCAACUCGACUCCAUGAAGUCGGAAUCGCUAGUAAUCGUAGAUCAGAAUGCUACGGUGAAUACGUUCCCGGGCCUUGUACACACCGCCCGUCACACCAUGGGAGUGGGUUGCAAAAGAAGUAGGUAGCUUAACCUUCGGGAGGGCGCUUACCACUUUGUGAUUCAUGACUGGGGUGAAGUCGUAACAAGGUAACCGUAGGGGAACCUGCGGUUGGAUCACCUCCUUACCUUAAAGAA
Molecule: ribosomal RNA, 1550 nt
Filed under: Klebsiella pneumoniae
Lineage: Bacteria; Pseudomonadati; Pseudomonadota; Gammaproteobacteria; Enterobacterales; Enterobacteriaceae
Also listed under: 1 other name
Description: bacterial SSU rRNA
Rfam family: Bacterial small subunit ribosomal RNA
Source: RNAcentral